UACCUUACCAUGCAUUGCAGGGAUAGUUGAUGGUGUAGCGGCACCCCAGUAAUCCAUGCCGAUAUUUAAGUUAGUGGUGUGAGGAACACCACUCACAACCCCAGCUGUUGCCAUUGGCAUGAUAGAACGAGUUCGAUUCACUUCUGAAUUAGGUGUAUUUGGUCCUCCAUUCUGGGAACCAUGACCAGCAUUUCCAUUCAGAGAUGUUUCAGCUGUAGAAGAGUUAUAAAGUAAGGUUUGUAAUCAGAACUUAUGAAAAAGGUAGCGACAGCAAUCGAAGUACAAAUUCCUAGAACCUCACCAGAAUCUUGCAGGCCUCCGGACUUCAUUUGAAUACAGAAAAAAGCCUAUACUCUCGAGAUAAGUAGCUUCUAAACUACCUAAUUACCAACCAAAAAUACAUGAUAAACCAAAUCAAUUCGCUUUACCCUCGAGAUAAGUAGCUUCUAAACAACCUAAUAACCAACCAAAAAUACAUGAUAAACCAAAUCAAUUCGCUUCCUCAAGAAAAAUAGACAAUGGGUUUUAGCUGGCAACUUUUUUGCAUCAUGCAUCAACUACCAAUUGGUGAAAAUUGAGUAAAUCUUUAACUCUAAAAUAUAUCACAGAAAAUCACAAUUUGUUUCAAAUGUUUACAUCCACUCAACCUCAGUAUUUAGCAUGCUGAUAGACCAAAUAUCAGUAAAAGCCAUGAAACAAGACUAGACACAAAGAUCUGAAGCCUAACAGCAAAUCAAUUAGAUCACAAGCCCAUGACCCACGUCAUCUCAAUCUAAAAACCAGAAAAACAAGGAAAUGCAAUUCAGUAAAUGGUAAAGAAGGAGAAAGGAAGACCUGUAUCCAAAGCUGUGACUGAACAUUUUCCCGUGAUCCAGUAGUGACCAUUCCUCCAGCACCAAGAGAGGGUACCUUACCAUGCAUUGCAGGGAUAGUUGAUGGUGUAGCGGCACCCCAGUAAUCCAUGCCGAUAUUUAAGUUAGUGGUGUGAGGAAUACCACUCACAACCCCAGCUGUUGCCAUUGGCAUGAUAGAACGAGUUCGAUUCACUUCUGAAUUAGGUGUAUUUGGUCCUCCAUUCUGGGAACCAUGACCAGCAUUUCCAUUCAGAGAUGUUUCAGCUGUAGAAGAGUUAUAAAGUAAGGUUUGUAAUCAGAACUUAUGAAAAAGGUAGCGACAGCAAUCGAAGUACAAAUUCCUAGAACCUCACCAGAAUCUUGCAGGCCUCCGGACUUCAUCUGUGAGUCCUGUACAUAACAGAACAACAAUCAGAACUGAGGAAAAGUUCAAAUGGGAAGUUUAAUUAGUUGAUCAACAUUAUUUUUUGUGAUAGUCUGCUAACUAUUUUUUAAUUUUAUUUUUAUUUUUAUUUUUAUGGGGAAUGGACAUCUUUAUAGUUGACAGUUUUCCAGAACUGAGAUCUCAAUCCGUGAAGCUUAAACUCCAGUGGGUACCUUACCAUGCAUUGCAGGGAUAGUUGAUGGUGUAGCGGCACCCCAGUAAUCCAUGCCGAUAUUUAAGUUAGUGGUGUGAGGAAUACCACUCACAACCCCAGCUGUUGCCAUUGGCAUGAUAGAACGAGUUCGAUUCACUUCUGAAUUAGGUGUAUUUGGUCCUCCAUUCUGGGAACCAUGACCAGCAUUUCCAUUCAGAGAUGUUUCAGC
RNAcentral lists this long non-coding RNA (1661 nucleotides) under Olea europaea (common olive). RNAcentral's name for it is "long non-coding RNA (OEUR_LNC011254)". Lineage: Eukaryota; Viridiplantae; Streptophyta; Magnoliopsida; Lamiales; Oleaceae. The record is from RNAcentral.